GUAAUUUAAUAAAGUUAAUGUGAAAGUCUUAGCAUGUGACCUCAUGUACCUUUUUUUUUUUUUUUUUUUAUCAGGUUGGUGGGACAGAAAACUAAAUGGGACCAUGCUGUUUUUCUACUCUAAUCUACAAGAAUUGUACCGGUGUCCAAGAAUUGCAAGGAAACUUCUCCAGGAUUAGCACCUGAACGUUCUCCCUGUGUCUGCCCUCAGAUCCGUGAAGUUCCUCCCUGAGCAUCGUUUCACAUUUUCAGUGCAUUUCGGAGAUCUUCAAAAGGUGGUAUGUGUGCAAGCUGUGUGAUGGGAGGCAACUGAUUUUAACCCUGGCCUUUGCAUCCAAACACUCUCUUCAGAUUGGAGUGCGAUCCAGUACAAAAUCUGAGUGGGGCAAUGGAAAGUUAAUAAACUUCCUGUAAUCCAGCUUUGUGGGUUUGUUCACUUUGAAAAAGAAAGAAAGAAAGAAACCCAAGAGGGUACAGGGAAAUUCCACAUCUUCAGCGUUCCUGGAAGCGCGGCUGCUCCCUCUAGUUGUUGCGCUCUGGUCUUUCCCCAACCGCGUCCUCCGGCCGUGCUUCAUGCAGUGCCUAAGGCGGAGAGGAAGGUGGCCGCGGUGGCUCUGCUGCUCCGUUGCUGUGCGGCUGUCCCCGCUAUUCCUCCUCUCCCGUCUCCCUUCUCCCUCUCUGGACAAGUCCCACCAAAAGGCCUCUCUGGACAAGUCCCACCAAAACCCUCCUGCACGGGGCCCCGGUGGCCCACGCUGACAUUUGGGAAGCAGCAAUGCCGCUGCCGCGCGGGACUGGUGCUUCACCGCCGCGCGGGCGGCACGGUGCUGGCCUCCCCUCGCUCAGACGCUGGGCUGCAAGUGAUUUCGAGGAGAAAUAAUAUGCAUUCUUGCUCUGACAUGAUAUAAAAAUGUCUUUAUAUGAGAAAGUAUAUAUUUUAUUGAGGUGUGCUUCGUAUUAGUGUCGCAUAAGACCUUGAUUUCAAUAUAACAAUAUGAAAGUGCACGUGUAAUUUCUCUUCUGAUCACUUUAAUACCAAACCCACUGUACAUGGUAGUAAUGUUAAACUAAUGUGACAGCAUAAUACAAGUAUAAAGUGAUGUAAAACCCAUUAAUAUUAUAGAAAGUUAUUCAUCUUAUGCAAAGGAUUCUAAAGAAUAAUUUGAUUAAAAUUCCUCGUCCCUUUCUCUUGUUCUAGUGGAGCUGCUCUGAUCAAAAGAGAAGGCUGAUGAACAAACUUGAUAUUAGCUAAUUUCCAUACAAUAACUUCUCGUUCUUACCGCUGCUCACGUGCUAGCUUGGAGCGCGGUCGCUGCUGUCAGGGUCUCGGCUGGCUGCCAGGGCUGGUCGGGAGGUGUGGGGAGAGAGGUGUGCAGCCAGGCAGCGGGCUGAGUUUGGGGAGCCUGGUCCGUGUUGGCAUGCACCUUUUCCCUUGUCCAGUUUCAAGGGCACGUAAAACUUGAGCGAAUCAGGCCAUAAACGUUUAAUGAUACGAGUUGUUCCUCAAAUACAACAACGGAGCAAGUUGC
Struthio camelus australis is the source of this 1528-nucleotide long non-coding RNA. The record is from Ensembl. NCBI's taxonomy places the organism in Eukaryota, Metazoa, Chordata, Aves, Struthioniformes, Struthionidae.